Molecule: long non-coding RNA, 2701 nt
Organism: Solenopsis invicta (red fire ant)
Lineage: Eukaryota; Metazoa; Arthropoda; Insecta; Hymenoptera; Formicidae
Exons: 3
Source: RefSeq, a predicted model, not a curated record
AGACAAAAUGGCAGACGCCGGAGUACGCAUUCGUGUAGUAGACAAUUUGUCUUCCAUCCAAAAAAAUGUACGCGAAUCAAUCGCUCGAGCAAUGAUCUGAGAAGAAUAGUAAAUUAUAUUUCAAUAUUGCUCUUUCUUAUACGUCGGAUAUCCUAAUUAACGGAGCCGAGCAGCGAUGAUUCACCUAAUAUUAUAAUCUCACCCCGAUUCCAAGAAUACGGUGACACAAUCAGAUGUAACGAAUUAAGAAGGUAUAAAUUCACCAAUCAUGGGGAUUUGAGGUGACCGUUGCUCGCCGGAAACACCAAAGGAGUUGUCCAUUGUCAAACCCGCCGCUUUCUCGGAUUAACAAUUACCGAGAAAUAUAAAAAAAGUCGUAAAACCAAAUAUUGCACGUGGGCGCAUUAAUGAAUAAAUUGAUGCACACGGCCCUUGAUAGGACAAAAGGAACCAUAAACAAAAAAUUGUAUAAAUAGGCGCGUUUUCCAGAGCGAGUAGUCUAGUUUUGAUUCUUGCUCAAUUCGAAUCACAGUUCCGUGGCAUCUUGUAUGCCCGAGUUCUGUGACUCUCGGAUCCGCGGUCUUUAAACUCGUACGGAGUGCAAGUCUCGAUCAAAAAAGAAAAGUGUCAUUGAAACGGGCCUAUUUGGGAUCUGCCGACCAUUGUGCAUCGCACGCGGAAUCCCUUCGACCGAACCAUUCAUCUCCCGCCGAGUGUGGCCCAGUUUGGAGACCUGCGGUUCAGAGAGCGUUACAUUCGCCACAACAUCAUCAACACAAACAAUACCACCAUACAACCAAUACAAUCAACAAGUAGUAAGUUGCAAUCUUCCGUCUAUCUUUGAAUUCUUUGUUUUGAGUUCAUCACCUUUUCUUUCUUUCGGGUAAUCCAUAUAUAAAUUUAUAUUGUCAACCGCCACACCCUUUGACCCAUUUUCCGUCUAUCUUUCUAUUUUUGGGGGAUUGAAACGAACUCCGUUCGAUUCGAUUCAAACUACAUCCUUUAUUUCUGUUUCUGGAUUAAAUCGAGCUUCGGCUUGAUUUGAUUCAAAAAAAUUUAUCAUUAAAAUUUCCUCUUUUUAGGAUUAAAUCAAACUCCGUUCGAUUCGUUUCAAAAGAAUUCUCUCUUGCAAUCCGAUCACUUUCUCAUCCUCCUUUCUUUCUCUCUCUCCAAUCAAAUUUUUUUUUUAUCUUUUCCUUCUUUUUUAUAUAUUUGAGAAAAAGGGGAGUCAAUUAUUUAUUUUAUUCAUUCUAGUGGAUAGUUGAACUCCACGAAAAAUUUACAAAAAUACGUCUCGGGCCGCAACCCGGCAUCGUAGAAACCGUAGGAAUUGCCGAAUCCGCCGGCUUAAAGCGUUGGAAAAAAAAAUCGAAACCCUUGUAGUUCAAGUCGAUCUGAUUUACUCCCCUGUUUUGUACUCUCCUGUCGUUCACGAACAAAAAGAAAGCUCCUCUCGAGCUUUACAUUAAUUUAUAUCGCAUCGACUCGCCGGACUCUGUGACUAGCCAACUAACGUAUAGAAUUUUCCCAGAUCCCCCCCCCUCUCUCUCUCUCUCUCUCUCUCUCUCUUCUUCUCCCCGUUCUCCGAUCCCUGAGGUCCAAGAUGUGGAGGAAGAGCAUUUUCCUCCCGAUCUUCCGAUCUUAGGCUUGCACGAUUUUGAAGACGAGAUUCCUUCUCCUUCUCCCGUCCUUAGUGUAGAGUUUUUAGAGCUACCACCACUUCCCUCGCGUUGUUAUUUUGCCCUUGGUCCCCUUCAAUUUUUUGAAUCAUUUUUAUUAGUGUUUCCAAUAUCCUCUGUCCCACUCCCUCUUGGCGCGUUCUCAUCAGGCCUAAGGUAUUCGAUCUCAAAGCGGUCCGUGCUUUCCUUCUCGUUUUCCCCCCGAUGCGCCUGUCCCCGUGUACCUUCCCCAUAUAUACCCAAAUUACUAUUUAGUCCCCAAGUUAAUAUUUCUGAACCACUUUUGCCCUAACACUACAACACAUGAGAGCGGCAGCUAUGCGGUAAUAGUAAACAUAUCAAGCAGUUUUGGAAUAGUCUUGACCGUGAAUAAUUAUCAACACUCAGGAAACAAGGAUACCUGUAAAAGGUAAGAGAACCAUAAGAUUUAAAUUGUUAAUUACUCGGCUCCUCUACUGAUUAAGCGAUGCUGAUUCAAUUCAUGAUGUAAGAAUAUUAUCUCGAUUAAAAUAUCGAGAAAAGAAUAGAAUUGCACUAUGAAAGUUUUCUUGUGUAUAUCCAAGCUUUGUGUAUAUGAUGCUAGAAAUCGGUUCCAGUUCUGGAUCCGAAAAAAAAUGACUGAAACUCGAUUCGUGAACACAAGCAACUCGGAUGAAAAUUUCGUAAUAUAGAAACCUCGUAUAGAAAAAUGCAUCCUGUCCCAUUUUUCCGUACUAGAUUCAAUUUAUACUGCCAAUAUUAAUUUCUUAUAAAUAGUAGAUGAAUGUUGGUUAAUGUAACGUUGAACAUCGGAAAUUAUAAUUUUCACAACCUUUAAUAAAUAAAAAUCAUAAUAUUUUAAUAUUAUUAUUUAGUAUAUAUUUUAAUAUUAUAAAUUUAGUAGCUAACCUCAGAUAUUCGAGUAUAAUGUUAUUGUUACGUCCUGCGGAGUAACGAUUCUUUCCUUCGCAACCAGCGGAUAUUCUAAUUAACGGGACCGAGCGGCGGUGAUCUCACCCCGAUUCCAAGAUUACGAUGACUCU